RNAcentral lists this long non-coding RNA (1204 nucleotides) under Gallus gallus (chicken). Lineage: Eukaryota; Metazoa; Chordata; Aves; Galliformes; Phasianidae. The record is from RNAcentral.
ACGGAACAUACCCACUGCAAAUUAACACGCAGUGUACGUGUGUAUAGAUAGGGACACGGCACACGAGCUGCCAAUUAUGUCGUGCUUUAGAGGAAACUGCAGAGAAAAAGUCACGAAGAGAAGGCUGCCUGGUGAGGUGUCUCGAGAUGUAAAUGGCUCCUGCUGAAAAGGUGCUUGAAACAAGACUUCAUUGCUGAGCUACAGGGAUUAAGGGAAGGGAUUUUAUUUGCCUGCUGCAGUUAGAUGCAGCGUCCUCAAGGACCCCAGAAUUUGCAUGGAAACAUGGAGGAGAGGAGAGAGGAAAUAACCUUUACAGAAAGAAAAUCAGUCAAAUCAUCUUUAUCAUUCAAACAAAAGAUGACAGGAAAUGAACAGGUGACUUCAAGGAUGAAAAAAAUACUCUUCUGCCAAUUCAAGAAAAGAUAAUGGAUGAGGUGUUACAGAACCUGUAGGUGAAUUUGAGUUUGCAUUAUAACCAUCUUUACGUAAGUCAGGUUAUUUAUAUCAUGUUUAAUAUAGCUGCCGUUUCAAUCACUGUUACUUUAACUUAUUUAUUUAAAAAUUAAUGAAUGGUUGCCUGCCAGCUGUAUCACAGCCACGCAGGCUGUCAUGCAAGAGAUCAGUCAUUCAAAAUCAAUGUGUGACAAAGCAUAAGAAGAAGAAGUAUCCCCACAAAUGCAAACAUUAUGAGGGAAGUGCUUUAUGUCUUGUAAGCCACAUCAUCAGCUGGCUGUCUGAACAGAGACAGUCACUUUUCUCUCCGUGUUUAUAAAUAGCAGUGCAAUGGAUGUGUUACGUUCUGUAAACUACCCCAAGAAAAUCGUUUUAAUUUUCCAUAACUCAUAUAUUCAUUUACAUGUGGUGAGAGAAUAAAAUGUUAGUAUUUGGAUUUAGAACCCAUAUUUUCCUGAUGGAAACAAUUAUGUUGAAAGAAAAGCAGCAGCAAAGCUGACUUCCAAAACCCUGGGUGACACCAGAAGUCACUGAGCUCCACCAAACACCAAAGCACUGACUUUUACCUCACUCUCUUGCUCAGGAAAAUCACUAGUUUAUUUUUGGUUUAAUACUGCUGGGGAGUAACCUUUCAGUCUGAAAAAAAAUAGGGAGAGAGAACAAGUAGACACAACCAGUCAGUGAGGAGGUGAUGUCAAAGGCAUGUUUUAAUUAGUGCAAGAUUAGCUGUGGCCAUGUUGGCCUAAGGCAA